Molecule: ribosomal RNA, 443 nt
Filed under: uncultured bacterium
Lineage: Bacteria
Description: partial 16S ribosomal RNA
Rfam family: Bacterial small subunit ribosomal RNA
Source: RNAcentral
CCUACGGGAGGCUGCAGUGGGGAAUAUUGGGCAAUGGAGGCAACUCUGACCCAGCAACGCCGCGUGAAUGAUGAAUGCCUUCGGAUUGUAAAGCUCUUUUCUAAAGGAAGAAAAAAGUGACGGUACCUUAUGAAUAAGCGUCCUCUAACUACGUGCCAGCAGCCGCGGUAAUACGUAGGAGGCGAGCGUUAUCCGGAUUGACUGGUCUUCAAGGUUGCGUAGGUUGUUUGGCAAGUUAGUAGCGUAACUCCAAGGCUCAACCUUGGAACUACUACUAAUAAUGUUGGACUUGAGUGCAGGGGGGGCAAGCGGAAUUCGUAGUGUAGCGGUGGAAUGCGUAGAUAUUAGGAGGAACACCAGUGGCGAAGGCGGGUUGCUAGACUGUAACUGACACUGAGGCACGAAAGCGUGGGGAGCAAACAGGAUUAGAUACCCGAGUAGUC